Pezoporus occidentalis (night parrot) is the source of this 325-nucleotide long non-coding RNA. RefSeq lists it as uncharacterized. The transcript is spliced from 3 exons. NCBI's taxonomy places the organism in Eukaryota, Metazoa, Chordata, Aves, Psittaciformes, Psittacidae. The record is from RefSeq and is a predicted model, not a curated record.
CGGAUGUGAGUGUGAUCAGAAGAACAUGAGCAAGUUCAGAUAAUUCCCAGAUGGCUUGGCUGUGUUCAAAGUAUUUUCAGAUCACAGAUGAUGACAGCUGUUGUAACAGAAAAUGAUUAAGUAAAUUGCCUGGAAAUGUCAUUAGAGUGUCCAGCCUCAAAUGGCAGGAGAGCUUUUGGAACCCCUUUGCUUUCAAGGAGCACCAAGCCAUGGGAUCACUGAAGCCCGUCCCGUUGAAAGAAGUUAGUCUGUAUUUUACCCUCUUGUCAGUGUAUUACUUAACUGUCAAAAGAUGCUGAGUGGCCAGUGAAGUUAAUUUUAGCAA